RNAcentral lists this ribosomal RNA (200 nucleotides) under uncultured bacterium. Its description in RNAcentral is "partial 16S ribosomal RNA". It matches the Rfam family "Bacterial small subunit ribosomal RNA", at positions 29 to 257 of the family's 1533-position model. The record is from RNAcentral.
AGCGAACGCUGGCGGCAGGCCUAACACAUGCAAGUCGAACGGACCCUUCGGGGUUAGUGGCGGACGGGUGAGUAACACGUGGGAACGUGCCCUUUGGUUCGGAACAACUCAGGGAAACUUGAGCUAAUACCGAAUGUGCCCUUCGGGGAAAGAUUUAUCGCCAUUGGAGCGGCCCGCGUCUGAUUAGCUAGUUGGUAGGG